UGCUCACUUCGGCAGCACAUAUACUAAAA
Molecule: small nuclear RNA, 29 nt
Filed under: Cervus elaphus hippelaphus
Lineage: Eukaryota; Metazoa; Chordata; Mammalia; Artiodactyla; Cervidae
Source: RNAcentral